AAGGCAAGUGAAGCUUAAGAAUGCUUUGUCAUUUCUGGGCCAUUGAUAAAAGUCACAGAUGAUCCCGAAGUUUCAGUAGGGGAAGACACAUGCCGUCAAGGACAGAUGGCCAGAACACUGAGGACGGUCAAGAUGGCUCAGCGGGUAAAGGCCCUGGCUGCUAAGGCUGUUGACUUGGAUUCAAUCUCUGGGACUCAUAUAAUGGAAAAAGAGAACCUGCCCCCUGUAAGUGGUCUCCUGAUCACACCAAGUAAAUAAGUGUAAUGCAAGUCUCCAUGUCCUUCGAGACUGGGACACACCUGGGGGAACUGGAAAGAAUGUGCCUCCGUUUAAAAGGUUCACACUGAAGUGGGAACAGCAAUGUGGACAGACUGCAUUGGCUAUCUGGGAAAGAAUGAGUUAAAAAACUGUUUUUCCAGUUUUAAUACAUUAUCCUUUGGCAUUUUUUUUGUAACUUUGAAUUUUUGGAUAUUUUAUUUUUAGUCUGUGUGUGUGUGUGUGUGUGUGUGUGUGUGUGUGUGUGUGUGUAUGUGUGUAGAUCAGAAGGCAGCUUUGGAAGUUGGUUCUCUCCUCCUUCCUUGUGGGUCCUGGAGAUGACACUUAGGUCAUCGGAUUUGGCACCAUUUAUAAAUGCCUUUACCGGCUGAACUGUCUUCGUAUCCCAUGAUUAUUUAAUUUUAAAAAGUGAAAGAUCCAGGCAGGGUGUAGUGGCACACAUCUUUAGUUCCAGCACUGUGGAGGCAGAGGCGAGCAGAUAAUGUGAUUUGAGGGUCAGCCUGCUCCACAUAGUGAGUUCCAGGCUAGCCAGGUCUAUGUAGUGUGACAGUGUCUCAAAAAAAGACAAAUUAAUAUUUAAAAAUGAAGAAAGCUGUUGCAUUAUUGAUUUUAGAAAUUCUCCUUCUGUGUUGGGCUGGAAGUUGAGUUUCUUUGUCUUUAGACAAAGAACUGAGACCAGAUUAAAAGUCCUGUGAGUGUAAAGAAGGAAAACAGCUUUUUAUGCAUAGUUCUUUAAAAGGGGUGGAACCAGAAAACCCUUUGUCCUCUUGUGUUUAUUUAAGACAUUCUACUGGAAGAUUUGAGGCUCUGGGCUUUGGAUUUUUCAUGUUUUCUAAUGUUAGUGUAAACAGAGCUGCGAUACACACACAAAUGAAUAUAAUUAUUAUUUCUCUUGCUAGUCAUUUUCUAUUAUUUCUUUGUGUGAAUUUGUUCAAAAGAAAAAAAACCCUUUUUGUAAUGACUGUUUGAGUUUAAAAAUCAAUAAAUCUCAUCAGGAGUUGUGGCACACACCUUUAAUCCCAGCACUCAAGAGGCAGAGGCAGAUGGAUCUCUUGAGUUCGAGGCCAGCCUGGUCUACAUAGUAAGUUUUAGUAUAGCUAGAGCUACAUGAGAGACUCUGUUUCCAAAAGAAACCCAACGCCCCCUCCCCCCCC
This is a non-coding RNA of Cricetulus griseus (Chinese hamster), 1430 nucleotides long. Lineage: Eukaryota; Metazoa; Chordata; Mammalia; Rodentia; Cricetidae. The record is from RefSeq and is a predicted model, not a curated record.